UGGGGAAUAUUGCACAAUGGGCGAAAGCCUGAUGCAGCGACGCCGCGUGCGGGAUGAAGGCCUUCGGGUUGUAAACCGCUUUCAGCAGGGACGAGGCCGCAAGGUGACGGUACCUGCAGAAGAAGCCCCGGCUAACUACGUGCCAGCAGCCGCGGUAAUACGUAUGGGGCGAGCGUUGUCCGGAAUUAUUGGGCGUAAAGGGUACGUUGGUGGGUUUUUAAGUCAGGUGUCAAAGCGUGGAGCUUAACUCCAUUAAGCACUUGAAACUGAAAGACUUGAAUGAAGGAGAGGAAAGUGGAAUUCCUAGUGUUGCGGUGAAAUGCGUAGAUAUUAGGAGGAAUACCGGUGGCGGACGCGACUUUCUGGACUUUUACAGACGCUCAAGUACGACAGCGUGGGGAGCAAACAGG
This 410-nucleotide ribosomal RNA is filed under the name Verrucomicrobiota bacterium. RNAcentral describes it as "Verrucomicrobia bacterium partial 16S ribosomal RNA". It matches the Rfam family "Bacterial small subunit ribosomal RNA", at positions 355 to 776 of the family's 1533-position model. Lineage: Bacteria; Pseudomonadati; Verrucomicrobiota. The record is from RNAcentral.